Molecule: long non-coding RNA, 4481 nt
Organism: Hemibagrus wyckioides
Lineage: Eukaryota; Metazoa; Chordata; Actinopteri; Siluriformes; Bagridae
Exons: 2
Source: RefSeq, a predicted model, not a curated record
GAGAAAGCAAGAGACUGAGAGAGAGAGAGAGAGAGAGAGAGAGAGAGAGAGAAUUGGAGACAGAGAAAGCAAGAGACUGAGAGAGAGAGAGAGAGAGAGAGAGAGAGAGAAGUGGAGACAGAGAAAGCAAGAGCCUGAGAGAGAGAGAAAGAGAGAGAGAGAGAGACUUACCUCUGGUAAGAAUAUACCCUGCACACAUUUAGACACAUCGGUAUCAGACAGUGAGGAGAUGAGAGAGGAAAGUGGAUGUAAGAAAAAUUGUGGUUUUUUAAAGAUUUUUUGAAACUCACAUGAUUGUUGAAUUCUCAAAUAAAAGGAAUAAGUUACUUUGAGACUAAUAGCUAUAAGAAUAAAAGUCAUCAUAGUUACCAUAUCAGGUUAGAAUUUUUCCAUAACAGUACACCUCUAAGCAUGAAUAUCUAAUCCUUAAACAUCUACAGUAUAUAUGAUUACCUCUGGUUGUGUAUCCAGAACGUCUCCGAAUUCCUUCAUUGGGAUGACAGCCAUCUGAGCGAGAGAAUCUGUGUUUCUAAAACACAAUGAAAACAAUGAAACAAUGGAAGACUUUGUACAGUGAUAAUUAGCUUUUAAACAUAUGCAGUAGUUCAGAGCGCUGAGGGUCACAGGCAUAUUUUAUGAGGCUCUGCAACAAAAGGCUCAUUUUUGUGCUGUCUGAAACAGACUAUUUUAUCCAUACUCCGAAGGUUAUGGCUCUUUUAAAUGAACAGUUUGGUGGACAUCAGUGGCGGGCCGUACAUUUCACACUUAGGCCUUCACUGGUGUCCUUCCUGAAUUAAUCCACCUCUAUACCAUCAUUAUGACGCCACGGCAACAGAUACUAAUCAACCGUUAAAUAGUGAAGUAAAAAAUAAAUUAGGCUACAGUAUUUCACACCUCACAAGGAAUAGUCCAUUUUAUUACAGUCCGCCUUGAAAAUGCAUUUGUAAGGAUGUCUGCGACCAAAUCGAUUUUCUUCUCCUCUGUCAGCCAUUGUGAGUUAAAAUAUAUAUAUUUUAUUUUGUUUGUGCGGUUCGCUGCCUCUGACUACUCCAAUUAUCCAAUCACAGGACGGGAAAUUGCGGACAUAAUCGUAUGCCUGCUAGAUGGCCCCAGUGACGCCAACUCAAAUCUGAUUGGUUAAUGGAACAAUUUCAUCGCCACUUAUUUUAAGCUACGGGCGCCUGCGCUAUUGAUUCUGAAGGCCUUAAGGCAGAUUUAUUUCACCCUGGCAACACAUGAUGUCAGCUACUAGCUGAAAUAUGAUUGGAUAAAUACUCUUAUCAUAAAUAUACACUACUGGAAGCAGCACAACCAAGAGAAAAGCUAUGAAAUGUAGAGAAUAGACUAUUGGGAAUCAUUUAAUACACAUUCAUGGAAAAAUAUAUUAAAAUGCAAGUCAGUGAUUCAGUUCACUGCUGUUUAGGCCAGCAGAGAAGGCCUUGCUGGUCCUGAUGGCCCACCACUGAUGAACAUGUUUCAUUUAGAUCAGCUAAGAAAUGCUUGGUAAUGUUAUUCAUGCAACUUUGAAUCAAUUUUCAUCAAAAUGCUUUUGUGUUAUUUGUUCACCUAAGCCCUCCCUAAACUCCUCUCUCUUUCCAAUAUGGUUUUAUUUAAAAAAAAUCUUUCAUAGACAUACUAAUAGUAAUAGACGUAAUAGUUUUUAUUUAAAAUACACACCUAAUGUAGAUGAUUUUUACUUUAGAUGGUGCACUCUUGAUGAUAGAUGAGGCGUUCUGAUGGGAGCGACCAUACAGAAUCUGACCAUUGAUCUGCAAAGAGUUAAAUAAAGAAAUGAAUAAGCUGCACUCUAGUGGCUAGUUUAGAGACACGUUCAGAAAGAAAUGCAUUUUAAUCAGCAUGUAACAUCGUUAAACAAAUAUCUGUCUGAGUUCUAGGCCUUACCUCCAGCAGUUCAUCUCCUACAAUGAUGCGUCCAUCUCUCCCGGCUGCUCCGUUAGGAUCGAUGCCUACUACGAAGACACUCAUUCUUGAACGAUCCCUGUUCCCUGCCAGACUCAGGCCUAAACCACUUCUUCCCUUCUCCAGCUCGAUCAUAUGCAACACACCGGGCAGACUCCCAUAACGUUCGACCACCUUUUCUGCUUGCACACAGAGUAAUCACAUCUCACUGCAGGCUGCACUAUCAAACACUGAUUUAUUUUAAAGUGGGUUUUAUAGGUCAUAUACAGCAGAGGGCUGUAUUUUCUGUUGAUUUAUUGCCUUUAGCACCUUCUAAAAAUUUGUUUGGGGAGUAUUUCAUUGAUCAGAGCAGGUUUAAUACCUCAAAAAUCAUUUUAUUUCUCUAUCAUAAUAUCCCAGUGGACCUUGUGCGAUUCUAGUGUGACCACACUGCCAUCUGGUGGUGAUGUGCGAGUCAUUGCAGAGUCACAGAAAAAUAACUUACUCCAAGUGUAGCCAAACUCGUCUUCCUCUUCUUCCACCGUGUCACAGGGAAGCGUGAGAUGACCGGGGAUAUCAGUCAGUGAGUCCGUGUCCGUCUCGCCUAUGCGUGGCACCGAGAGGAACGGCAUUGUAGGGGAAAUUUUCCCUGGCUCUCGAUUCAGCUGCCAUAGCAAAAAGAGAAACGUAAAAUAAAAUAGUGUAUACUACAUUCCAAUCAAACCACUUCAAUUCAAUUAAAUGGAAAUAGCAGGAGAUAUUUUCUGAAAACCAUAAUCAGAAAAUCAGAAUUUCCAGACACUUUUUUUUCCUCUGAAAACCGUCCCUUAAAUUGGAUUUUAAUGCAAGCAGUUUCAUUGCAGAUCAUUCAUAGCUUAUUGUAUGAACCCCAGUCAUCAUCAUCAUCAUCCUCUUCCUCACAAAACAACACUGUACCUGCACAUUGUUCACCAAAGCCAGUGAGAUAAACCUGAACUUACCACUGACAUGGGCUACAAUAAAAAAGAACAAAAAAACAAAACAAAUCAAAACAAAUACCAUUAACACACAUAUGCAAAAGCCAGAUUAUUUAGGGACAAUUGCACAGUUAUAUAAACUAAUGGACCACUUUCAUGUCAACUAGCCUAUUUUACAUGUCUAUGUUUUGUGCAUUUACUUGUAGGAUAACGUCCUAUUACAAUACAGAUACAAAAACACAGAAAAUAAUUUUAUUUAACCUAUAGCAACUACCAGCUGUGCUAGGUGAACCCUAGUACUGAGAUACAUGAAGCUAAUCUAUUUCUAGCUGCUGCCAUUGCUGUGUCACGGAGCAGUGCAAGGCUGUCAGAUGAAAGCUCUUACACAGAUGCCCGUGAUUGGCUAGUUGUGCUCUAAAGUAUUUCAUCCCUCCUUCAAGGAGGAUAGAGCACAUGUGCUACUUGAUUCUUUACCCAUUCAGUUUCCUUUGUCUGUAUUAAUGUACCAAACCAGAUAACUAUCUUGCUAUACAUCCAGGCAUAACAUUAUGACCACCUGCCUAAUAUUGUGUUGGUCCACCAAGAUGUUAGCAGCAGAUCCUCCAUAGGCCCCACCUCGCGACUUACAGGACUUAAAGAUCUUGAAGGACACUUUUGAUAGAUACUGACCACUGCAGACCGAGAAGGGCUGCAGUUUUGGAGAUGCUCUGAUCCAGUCGUCUAUCCAUCACAAUUUGGCCCUUCAUCAAACUCGCUCAAAUCCUUAAACUUGUCCAUUUUUCCUGCACAUCAACUCUGAGGACAAAAUGUUCACUUGCUGCCUAACAUAUCCCACCCACUAACAAGUCCCAUGAUGAGGAGAUCAUCAGUGAUCAUAAUGUUAUGCCUGAUUGUUGUAUUGUUACAUUAGCUAGUCAGUUCGGUAUCCAGGCAAUCAUUUAGCAAACACACUGGAGCUUCAACCUGCUAGUAGAAUCAAUAGCUAUCACUCCAGAUAUUUAUGAUUACUGAUUAGCUUGUUAAGAACCAUGGCAUGUUUUACUGUUGCUGGUCCAAGCCGUGGUCUCUAGCAAGUAGUCUGUACUAAGUUUGUUUACCUGUGAACUGGUAUGUUUUUGAAUUACCCCUUGCGCUUAGUUUGCUGCAUACUUAUAUAUUUUCAACCACUAACAAACCAAUCCUAACAACAAGAAUCAUUCAAUAUCCGACUGUCUAAAAGAAAUCCAUAAUCAUCAGAAUUAUACCCUGUUUAAUUUUCAGCAGAGGUAACUGGAAAUUGCCCUGUUGUCUGGCUGCGCGUUCUCAUUAAACACCUUACAGUGAGUAUCAAACUGACACACAGAAACAGGAAGGUUGUUAGGGCCACAUGCAUGUGUAGCCAAUGUAAAAGACAUAUUUGAUUACCACACACAUGUUACAUGGAGCACGAACACACACACACACAAGACCACACACUGAGGCACAAACCUUAAAUGGAGUAGGGGUGAAAGGGUUAGUUGGGGAGAGACGGAGGAAAAGCCUACUGUGACUCUCAACAUCCUACAAAGAAAAGAAAAAGAGCAAGCAGCACCCGUGAGGGAGACAGAGAAGACACAGAACGAAGAGAGAGAGAGAGAGAGAGAGAGA